Molecule: long non-coding RNA, 3675 nt
Filed under: Sus scrofa (pig)
Lineage: Eukaryota; Metazoa; Chordata; Mammalia; Artiodactyla; Suidae
Description: lncRNA (ENSSSCG00015020428.1)
Source: RNAcentral
UGUGACCUGCGCCACAGCUACAGCAACACCAGGUCCCACUGUGCCAGGCUGGGGAUCGAAGCUGCAUCCUUUUAUUUCAACUUUGCAUGUGGUGCGUACUUAAUCAGACAAUCAUCAAACCCAUACACACGGCUCGCCACGCCACAGACGCGCCUCAGUGUCAACCCCCCACCCAGGGGCGGUGCUCUUCGCCCCUGAAGCCACUGAGAAACGGCUUAUGUAAGAGAUGCCUUCUUUCAAGUUAAGUUGAGAGGUUUAGACUUUAAUUUCCCUAACUCACUAAAGAAAAACCCCAUGCAGGAGAACCCUCCCUAAAUUAUUUCGAUGACCCUUAACGGUUAAGCCGGCCCCCCACUCAGAACCCGGACCUGUGGCUGAGACUGUUCUGCAUUUAAACGACACUCAGUGUCCUGUCACAGUUUCCGCGUGACUCACAUUCUCCCAGAAGAUCCAAGACACGCAGAAGCCACCUCAGCACUUGGGUCACGCGGCCACCUCCACAUGCACUCACUGGCUCUGCUUCAGGAGGGCCUCAAAGCAGGGGCGUCCCCACUGACGGGGCGUCCCCCCCGCGCUGCCAGCCCGAGAGCCCUGACUAGCUCUCCACCCAGGGUGGCUGGCUGGCUCAGACGCCACCGGCACAUGUCUCGGGGAUGCACAUCCUGGAGCCGUGACCCCCAGGCUGAACCUCCUCCACGGAGGGCAGGACCAAGGGCAGGAGCGGCGGGCGACACAGACCCCGUGCACAGAUGUGGCUGCCCGCCGAGAGAGCAAGGCCAGGCCAGUGCGCCAGGAGCCCUCAGGGGUCGCCCGGGUCCUCGAGGCACCUUCACAACCUGGAGAGGACUCGGUCCCGCUCAGACGCCUGAGCUGCCGUGGACUCAAAGCGACACCACCUCACCCCUAGCGAGAAGGAGCCCUCCCCGCAGUUCUGGAACAACCAGGAGUUCAGGGUGGCCGUCACUGAACCGGAGCCGCCGCCUGCACUGUGACCCUGUGCACAAGAGCUGCCCUCGUACGCCUGCCAACAUCGCCCCUGCCAGCUCCCACCACCACCACCACCACGGAUGCUGCCCGUGCCAGGCUCCCACAACGCAAGGUGCCUGCAAAGCCACGCGGCCACACAUGCCGGUCCCGCUCCUGCCCUCGCAGUUGCAGGAGCAGCUGGAAAACUACAGAGCCUCCUGCUGCCCUUUGCCACCCUGCCUAUCAGCGCCCGUCCUGGCCCACCACCCUGCCCCCGGGCUGUUUCGGUCUCCGAUUUGGGGUGAUGUGCUGCGGACCUCAGGUGGCUGCUGACAUGUCUCCACACGUCCUCAAAGCAGGAUAAGCAGAGGGCGCACAGUCACUGCUCUAACACCUCAGCGACACGUGGCUGCUUCUCAGGACCCACUCUGUGUCCCACAGAUUUCAGGGCCCCCACAGCUGAGACAAGAGCCUCCUCCCGGCUUCCUCCCAAGGUCCCCCUCCACGGCGGUUCUAGUCUGAUUGCAGCCGUGGCCUCUUCCAGCUCCAUGACGCCUGACCACCCACUGACCAGCUCCACCAAAGAGUGCACCCCAGCUCUCCUCCCCAGGCCCACAAGACCCAGGCCUUCCUGGACACCGCCCAGCAGCUUGGCCCUCCCAGGCCCCUGCGUCUGGCUCCGUCCACCGGGGCCUGAGCGGCUGGGCUGCAGAUGCGCUGGCCCCUGGUCUCAGGCCAGACCCUCCCCACGCCCCCUGGCUCAGGCUCCUCCCCAGGCCAGGCUCCUCUGAAAUAUUGUCCCCCGUCUCCAGGGAGCACCUACCAGGAGUGCCUGGCACCCAGGAGGCAGGCAGAGGCCUGUGCUGAGAGGAGGAAGGCUCGCCCCCUGGUGGCACGAGGCCCUGGUGGACGACGUACCUGGGUGAGCAGCUGGCCGGGCUCCAGCUGGUUGAGCCACCGUGUGUACCGCUGGGUGGAGUUGGGGGGCUCCCUCUGCACCUGGCAGCCGAUGAUCUGUGAGACAACGACAAGCAGGGCUUAGGAGGAAGCUGCACCUGGCAGCCGAUGAUCUGUGAGACAACGACAAGCAGGGCUUGGGGGAAGCCGCCGCCGCCACGGGAGCAGCCUGUCUCCGUCCAGCCUCUGAGUAAACCUGUCACACGCGAAGAGCUCACUGUCCCCGGGGCCGCCUCCCUCUACCCAGGCUCACAGCAGCCCCAGGACGACGCCACCAGACAGGCAACCCCGUCCCAGAGGCAUCUGUCAGCUGCACCACGUCCUUCCCCCAGUGUCCUGCCCCCUGGCUCUGGACACGGGUCUCCACACACCCGGCUUCCGCGCACUGACCCCCAGCAGCCUUGCCCCACCCAUCCACGGCGUCUCAACACUGGGAAGCCUCUGCGUCCUCUGCUGGGGGUGCUCAGAGGCCAGGGGCCUGGCCCUGAGGCCCCCACACCCUCAGGUCCCGAUGCUCUCGGCCCUGAAGCUGGGACCCCAGCAGGCUCAGGCCUUCGAGGAGGCAGAGAACAGCUGGUCCCCGUGGGCAGCACCCCUCACAACAGCAGGAGGGGCCUCUUCUCCUCCCGGUGGCUGGCAGAGAGCAACUGGGGUGUCUGCAGGUGGCAGAGCCUGCCCCCUGGUGAAGGCACCCCCAUGAGGCUUGCAGGGCUGGCUUGCCUCGGUGGUGACACUAGCACUGGCCCCCCUGGCUGUGCUUUCCCCGACUCGCCGACCGCUGAGGGCCACGGUAAGGACGGCCUCCCUACUGAGGAAUGAUCAAAAGUCACCCCCGGUACCCGAGUUUCUUAAACGUUGCCCCAAUAGUCACGGUGGUUAAUUUACAUUAAUUCACUUACGCUAUGGGGAAGUUUGGGGGUUCUGCUUGCUUGAAUUUUUUGUUCGUUUAAAAAAAAAAAAAAGGCAAGGCACUCCUGUUGUGACGCAGCAGAAACAAAUGCGACGAGUAUCCAUGAGGACGCAGGUUUGAUCCCUGGCCUCGCUCGGUGGGUUGGGGAUCCAGCAUUGCUGUGGCUGUGGUGCAGGCCGGCAGCUGCAGCUCCGAGUGGACCCCUAGCCUGGGAACCUCCAUAUGCUGCAAGCACGGCCCUAAAAAAUUAAAAAAAAAAAAAAAAAAAGGCAGACUCACAUGCAGCGAGACAAGAGAGAGAUUCCAUGUGGCCUUGGGCUCAGGGACGUGGGGCACGUCCACGGAGCCUUUGCAGCCGCCGCUGCCCUCCAGCCGGCCACCAAAACCCUGGGUCUUCCCAAGGCCAGGACUCUGUCUCUCCGAGGACACCACGAAGCACCAGCACACCGUGUGCGGCCGGGGAAAAUGACCACACCCAGGGGCCCUGGGCGCACAGGCGAGGGCUCCUUGAUAAAGGGGGAGCUGGGUGCUUCUGAACUGCCCUCACGCCCAGCCUUCCAGAAGCUUCCAGCCUGAGGGGGGGGGGGCUCUCGAAACAGCUGACGGACGGGCUGUUUUUAGCUUCUUCCAGGCUUAAAUCAAGGACUGUUUACCUUAACAGUGUUUCAACGUAAGCAGUGUAAGCACAACUACUAUUCAGGGAGUAAGAAGCCUCAACAUCAAACUUUAGGCUGGGAAACAUCACCGACUCCAUGAAAAGACAAGAGAAGCCCCGGGGGCGGAGUGCGUGGGCAGACCAGGCACAGCCAGGUCCCGAGGGGCAGGCAGGUGUGCCAGGGUGG